UACGGAGGGGGCGAGCGUUAUUCGGAAUUAUUGGGCGUAAAGGGCGCGUAGGCGGCUGUACAAGUCAAGGGUGAAAUCCCUCGGCUCAACUGAGGAACUGCCUUUGAAACUGUACGGCUUGAGGCCGGGAGGGGGUAGCGGAAUUCCCAGUGUAGCGGUGAAAUGCGCAGAUAUCAGGAGGAACACCGGUGGCGAAGGCGGGUCUCUGGGCAACAACUGACGCUGAGGAGCGAAAGCGUGGGGAGCGAACAGG
This 253-nucleotide ribosomal RNA is filed under the name uncultured bacterium. Its description in RNAcentral is "partial 16S ribosomal RNA". It matches the Rfam family "Bacterial small subunit ribosomal RNA", at positions 524 to 776 of the family's 1533-position model. The record is from RNAcentral.